This 482-nucleotide ribosomal RNA is filed under the name uncultured Acidobacteriota bacterium. Its description in RNAcentral is "bacterial SSU rRNA". It matches the Rfam family "Bacterial small subunit ribosomal RNA", at positions 9 to 524 of the family's 1533-position model. The record is from RNAcentral. Lineage: Bacteria; Pseudomonadati; Acidobacteriota.
GAGUUUGAUCGUGGCUCAGAAUCAACGCUGGCGGCGCGCUUAACACAUGCAAGUCGAACGAGAAAGUCCGCAAGGAUGAGUACAGUGGCGUACGGGUGAGUAACACGUGGGUCAUCUACCUCUGGGUGGGGAAUAACCCUGGGAAACCGGGGCUAAUACCGCAUAAUACUGUGAGGUUAAAGGCGCAAGUCGCCUGGAGAGGAGCCCGCGGCUGAUUAGCUAGUUGGUAGGGUAAAGGCCUACCAAGGCGGAGAUCGGUAGCCGGCCUGAGAGGGCACACGGCCACACUGGCACUGAAACACGGGCCAGACUCCUACGGGAGGCAGCAGUGGGGAAUCUUGCACAAUGGGGGCAACCCUGAUGCAGCGACGCCGCGUGAGCGAUGAAGCCCUUCGGGGUGUAAAGCUCUUUUCGGCAGGAACGAUGAUGACGGUACCUGAAGAAGAAGCUGCGGCUAACUACGUGCCAGCAGCCGCCGCGGU